AGAAAAAUAAGCUAAUUAAGCUAAUGGGUUCAUACCCCAUUUAUAGAGGUCUCUACUCCUCUUUUUUCUA
This 70-nucleotide transfer RNA is filed under the name Togoperla limbata. RNAcentral's name for it is "tRNA-Met". It matches the Rfam family "tRNA". From Rfam's summary of the family: Transfer RNA (tRNA) molecules are approximately 80 nucleotides in length. Lineage: Eukaryota; Metazoa; Arthropoda; Insecta; Plecoptera; Perlidae. The record is from RNAcentral.